Molecule: ribosomal RNA, 376 nt
Filed under: uncultured bacterium
Lineage: Bacteria
Description: bacterial SSU rRNA
Rfam family: Bacterial small subunit ribosomal RNA
Source: RNAcentral
AACGAACGCUGGCGGCGUGCCUAACACAUGCAAGUCGUGCGAGAAAGUUCCUUCGGGAGCGAGUAAAGCGGCGCACGGGUGAGUAACACGUAGGUAACCUGCCCCCAGUCUGGAACAACUAGAGGAAACUCUAGCUAAUGCCGGAUGAGACCACGAUCCCUUCGGGGGUUGCGGCCAAAGAUGGCCUCUACUUGUAAGCUAUCGCUGAGGGAUGGGCCUGCGGCCAUUAGCUUGUUGGUGAGGUAACGGCUCACCAAGGCUGUGAUGGCUAGCUGGUCUGAGAGGAUGACCAGCCACACUGGGACUGAGACACGGCCCAGACUCCUACGGGAGGCAGCAGUGGGAAUAUUGCGCAAUGGGCGAAAGCCUGACGCAG